RNAcentral lists this ribosomal RNA (400 nucleotides) under uncultured bacterium. RNAcentral describes it as "bacterial SSU rRNA". It matches the Rfam family "Bacterial small subunit ribosomal RNA", at positions 356 to 773 of the family's 1533-position model. The record is from RNAcentral.
GGGGAAUAUUGCACAAUGGGGGAAACCCUGAUGCAGCGACGCCGCGUGAGCGAUGAAGUAUUUCGGUAUGUAAAGCUCUAUCAGCAGGGAAGAAAAUGACGGUACCUGACUAAGAAGCACCGGCUAAAUACGUGCCAGCAGCCGCGGUAAUACGUAUGGUGCAAGCGUUAUCCGGAUUUACUGGGUGUAAAGGGAGCGUAGACGGAGUGGCAAGUCUGAUGUGAAAACCCGAGGCUCAACCCCGGGACUGCAUUGGAAACUGUCAAUCUAGAGUACCGGAGAGGUAAGCGGAAUUCCUAGUGUAGCGGUGAAAUGCGUAGAUAUUAGGAGGAACACCAGUGGCGAAGGCGGCUUACUGGACGGUAACUGACGUUGAGGCUCGAAAGCGUGGGGAGCAAAC